GGUGCGAGCGUGUCCGGAAUUACUGGGCGUAAAGAGCUCGUAGGCGGUUUGUCACGUCGUCUGUGAAAUCCCUCGGCUUAACCGGGGGCGUGCAGGCGAUACGGGCAGACUUGAGUACUACAGGGGAGACUGGAAUUCCUGGUGUAGCGGUGAAAUGCGCAGAUAUCAGGAGGAACACCGGUGGCGAAGGCGGGUCUCUGGGUAGUAACUGACGCUGAGGAGCGAAAGCAUGGGUAGCGAACAGGAUUAGAUACCCUGGUAGUCCAUGCCGUAAACGGUGGGCGCUAGGUGUGGGGUCCUUCCACGGACUCCGUGCCGUAGCUAACGCAUUAAGCGCCCCGCCUGGGGAGUACGGCCGCAAGGCUAAAACUCAAAGGAAUUGACGGGGGCCCGCACAAGCGGCGGAGCAUGUGGAUUAAUUCGAUGCAACGCGAAGAACCUUACCUAGGCUUGACAUAUACAGGACGACGGCAGAGAUGUCGUUUCCCUUGUGGCUUGUAUACAGGUGGUGCAUGGUUGUCGUCAGCUCGUGUCGU
This 536-nucleotide ribosomal RNA is filed under the name uncultured bacterium. RNAcentral describes it as "bacterial SSU rRNA". It matches the Rfam family "Bacterial small subunit ribosomal RNA", at positions 531 to 1068 of the family's 1533-position model. The record is from RNAcentral.